This 499-nucleotide ribosomal RNA is filed under the name uncultured bacterium. RNAcentral describes it as "partial 16S ribosomal RNA". It matches the Rfam family "Bacterial small subunit ribosomal RNA", at positions 28 to 507 of the family's 1533-position model. The record is from RNAcentral.
GACGAACGCUGGCGGCGUGCUUAACACAUGCCAGUCGAACGGGCCCGCUCUCUUUUUUGGGGGUGGGUUGAGUGGCGAACGGGUGAGUAUCACGUGAGUAACCUGCCCCCUGCUCCUGGAUAACUGCUUGAAAGGGCGGCUAAUACGGGGUGUGCCGGCUGGUCCGCAUGGGCCUGGUCGGGAUAGUUUCAUCUUCGGGUGUUUCGGUGGGGGAUGGGCUCGCGGCCUAUCAGCUUGUUGGUGGGGUGAUGGCCCACCAAGGCGGUGGCGGGUAGCCGGCCUGAGAGGGUGGGCGGCCACACUGGGACUGAGACACGGCCCAGACUCCUGCGGGAGGCAGCAGUGGGGGGUAUUGCACAAUGGGCGGAAGCCUGAUGCAGCGACGUCGCGUGAGGGAUGGAGGCCUUCGGGUUGUGAACCUCUUUCUCCGGUGGUGAAGGCCCUGUCCGUUGCGGCGGGGUUGACGGUAGCCGGGUAUGAAGCGCCGGCUAACUACGUG